GAUGAACGCUAGCGGGAGGCCUAACACAUGCAAGCCGAGCGGGAUUUGUUGGUUAGCUUGCUAACUAACAAUGAGAGCGGCGUACGGGUGCGUAGCACGUGUGCAACCUGCCUUUAUCUGGGGUAUAGCCUUUCGAAAGGAAGAUUAAUACCCCAUAACAUAUUGAUUGGCAUCAGUUAAUAUUGACAGCUCCGGCGGAUAGAGAUGGGCACGCGUAAGAUUAGCUAGUUGGUGAGGUAACGGCUCACCAAGGCUGCGAUCUUUAGGGGGCCUGAGAGGGGGAGCCCCCACACGGGUACUGAGACACGGACCAGACUCCUACGGGAGGCAGCAGUGAGGAAUAUUGGACAAUGGGUGAGAGCCUGAUCCAGCCAUCCCGCGUGAAGGACUAAGGACCUAUGGUUGGUAAACUUCUUUUAGACAGGGAUAAACCUACUCUCGUGAGGGUAGCUGAAGGUACUGGAUGAAUAAGCACCGGCUAACUCCGUG
This 489-nucleotide ribosomal RNA is filed under the name uncultured bacterium. RNAcentral describes it as "partial 16S ribosomal RNA". It matches the Rfam family "Bacterial small subunit ribosomal RNA", at positions 28 to 507 of the family's 1533-position model. The record is from RNAcentral.